UACGGAGGGUGCGAGCGUUGUCCGGAAUCACUGGGCGUAAAGCGCACGUAGGCGGCCUAUUAAGUCAGGGGUGAAAUCCCGGGGCUCAACCCCGGAACUGCCUUUGAUACUGGUAGUCUCGAGUCCGGAAGAGGUGAGUGGAAUUCCGAGUGUAGAGGUGAAAUUCGUAGAUAUUCGGAGGAACACCAGUGGCGAAGGCGGCUCGCUGGGACGGUACUGACGCUGAGACGCGAAAGCGUGGGGAGCAAACAGG
Molecule: ribosomal RNA, 253 nt
Filed under: uncultured bacterium
Lineage: Bacteria
Description: partial 16S ribosomal RNA
Rfam family: Bacterial small subunit ribosomal RNA
Source: RNAcentral